This 1615-nucleotide long non-coding RNA is filed under the name Cyanistes caeruleus (blue tit). Its description in RNAcentral is "lncRNA (ENSCCEG00000003569.1)". Lineage: Eukaryota; Metazoa; Chordata; Aves; Passeriformes; Paridae. The record is from RNAcentral.
UUUUCCCAGGGGAUUCCAGAUUUUCCCGGGAAUUCCCAAUUUUCCCGGGGGAUUCACAAUUUUUCCGGGAAUUCCUCAUUUUCCUGGGGAAUUUCUGAUUUUCCUGGGAAUUCACACUUUUCCUGGGGGAUUCCAGCCUUUCCCAUUUUUCCUGUUUUUCCCUUUUUUUUUUUCUCACUUUUCCCAUUUUUCCCAUUGUUUUUCCCAUUUUUCCCAUUGUUUUUCCCAUUUUUCCCGUUGUUUUUCCUGUUGUUUUUCCCAUUUGUUUUUCCCGUUGUUUUUCCCGUUGUUUUUCCCAUUUUUCCCAUUGUUUCUCCCGUUGUUUUUCCCGUUGUUUUUCCCGUUGUUUUUCCCAUUUUUCCCAUUGUUUUUCCCGUUGUUUUUCCUGUUGUUUUUCCCUUUGUUUUUCCUGUUUUUCCCGUUGUUUUUCCCGUUGUUUUUCCUGUUUUUCCCAUUGUUUUUCCCGUUGUUUUUCCCAUUUUUUUCCCAGUUUUUCCCGUUGUUUUUCCCGUUGUUUUUCCCAUUGUUUUUCCCGUUUUUCCCGUUGUUUUUCCCGUUGUUUUUCCUGUUUUUCUCGUUGUUUUUCCCAUUUUUCCCGUUUGUUUUUCCCAUUGUUUUUCCUGUUGUUUUUCCCAUUUUUCCCAUUGUUUUUCCCGUUGUUUUUCCCAUUGUUUUUCCCAUUUUUCCCGUUGUUUUUCCCGUUGUUUUUCCCAUUUUUCCUGUUGUUUUUCCCAUUGUUUUUCCCAUUUGUUUUUCCUGUUGUUUUUCCCGUUGUUUUUCCUGUUUUUCCUGUUGUUUUUCCCAUUGUUUUUCUCAUUGUUUUUCCCAUUUUUCCCGUUGUUUUUCCCGUUGUUUUUCCCGUUGUUUUUCCCAUUUUUCCCGUUGUUUUUCCCGUUGUUUUCCCAGCUACAAUCCCGACCUGGACUCGGAUCCCUUUGGAGAGGACGGGAGCCUCUGGUCCUUCAAUUAUUUCUUCUACAACAAGCGGCUCAAGCGGAUCGUCUUCUUCACUUGCCGCUCCAUCAGGUGAGGGGCGGCUCUUCCCGGGAAAUCCCGGAAUUCCGGGGGCGUUCCCGAGGGAAUCCCGCAAUUCCGGGGCUGUUCCCGGGAAAUCUCGGAAUUCCGGGGGCGUUCCCAGGAAAUCCCGGAAUUCCGGGGGCGUUCCCAAGGGAUUCUCGGAAUUCUGACCCCAUUCCCAAGGGUUUCCCCAGAAUUCCAACCCCAUUCCUGAGGGGAUUCCCGGAAUUCCAACCCCAUUCCUGAGGGUUUCCCUGGAAUUCCAGCCCCAUUCCCGAGGGGAUUCCCAGAAUGCUGACCCCAUUCGCAAGGGAAUUCCCAGAAUUCCAGCCCCGUUCCCGGAAUUCCAGCCCCAUUCCCGAGGGGAUUCCCGGAAUUCCAGCCCCGUUCCUGGAAUUCCAGCCCCGUUCCCGAGGGCAUUCCCGGAAUUCCAGCCCCAUUCCCAGAAUUCCAGCCCCAUUCCCAGAAUUCCAGCCCCGUUCCCGAGGGCAUUCCCAGAAUUCCAGCCCCAUUCCCGAGGCAUUCCCAGAAUUCCAGCCCCGUUCCCGAGGCAUUCCCAGAAUUCCAGCCCCGUUCCCGAGGGGAUUCCCGGGAUCCC